GACGAACGCUGGCGGCGUGCUUAACACAUGCAAGUCGAACGGUGAAGCGCCUUCCUUUUUGGUGGGUGUGGAUGAGUGGCGAACGGGUGAGUAACACGUGAGUAACCUGCCCCCUUCUUCUGGAUAACCGCAUGAAAGUGUGGCUAAUACGGGAUAUUCUGUGUCUGUCGCAUGAUGGGUCUGUGAAAGAUAUUGUUUCGGUGGGGGAUGGGCUCGCGGCCUAUCAGCUUGUUGGUGGGGUGAUGGCCUACCAAGGCGGUGACGGGUAGCCGGCCUGAGAGGGUGGACGGUCACACUGGGACGGAGACACGGCCCAGACUCCGACGGGAGGCAGCAGGGGGGAAUAUUGCACAGUGGGCGCAAGCCUGAUGCAGCGACGCCGCGUGAGGGAUGGAGGCCUGCGGGUUGUGAACCUCUUUCGCCAGUGAAGCAGGCCUGCCUCGUUUGUGGGUGGGUUGACGGUAGCUGGAGAAGAAGCGCCGGCUAACUACGUG
This 494-nucleotide ribosomal RNA is filed under the name uncultured bacterium. RNAcentral describes it as "partial 16S ribosomal RNA". It matches the Rfam family "Bacterial small subunit ribosomal RNA", at positions 28 to 507 of the family's 1533-position model. The record is from RNAcentral.